Molecule: ribosomal RNA, 209 nt
Filed under: uncultured prokaryote
Description: partial 16S ribosomal RNA
Rfam family: Bacterial small subunit ribosomal RNA
Source: RNAcentral
UACGUAGGAGGCGAGCGUUGUCCGGAGUUACUGGGCGUAAAGGGUGCGUAGGCGGGCCGGUUAGUUUGCGGUGAAAGCUCCUGGCUCAACUGGGAGAUGGCCGUGAAGACGGCGGGUCUUGAGGGGCGGAGAGGGACGUGGAAUUCCGGGUGGAGCGGUGAAAUGCGUAGAGAUCCGGAAGAACACCGACGGCGAAGGCAGCGUCCUGG